GGAAAGUCGCACGGUACAGGGUGAUAGUCCCGUACACAAAAAUGCAUAUGUUGUGAGUUCGAUGAGUAGGGCGGGACACGUGACAUCCUGUCUGAAUAUGGGGGGACCAUCCUCCAAGGCUAAAUACUCCUGACUGACCGAUAGUGAACCAGUACCGUGAGGGAAAGGCGAAAAGAACCCCGGCGAGGGGAGUGAAAUAGAACCUGAAACCGUGUACGUACAAGCAGUGGGAGCACCUUCGUGGUGUGACUGCGUACCUUUUGUAUAAUGGGUCAGCGACUUAUAUUUUGUAGCAAGGUUAACCGAAUAGGGGAGCCGUAGGGAAACCGAGUCUUAACUGGGCGAAUAGUUGCAAGGUAUAGACCCGAAACCCGGUGAUCUAGCCAUGGGCAGGUUGAAGGUUGGGUAACACUAACUGGAGGACCGAACCGACUAAUGUUGAAAAAUUAGCGGAUGACUUGUGGCUGGGGGUGAAAGGCCAAUCAAACCGGGAGAUAGCUGGUUCUCCCCGAAAGCUAUUUAGGUAGCGCCUCGUGAACUCAUCUUCGGGGGUAGAGCACUGUUUCGGCUAGGGGGUCAUCCCGACUUACCAAACCGAUGCAAACUCCGAAUACCGAAGAAUGUUAUCACGGGAGACACACGGCGGGUGCUAACGUCCGUCGUGAAGAGGGAAACAACCCAGACCGCCAGCUAAGGUCCCAAAGUCAUGGUUAAGUGGGAAACGAUGUGGGAAGGCAUAGACAGCCAGGAUGUUGGCUUAGAAGCAGCCAUCAUUUAAAGAAAGCGUAAUAGCUCACUGGUCGAGUCGGCCUGCGCGGAAGAUGUAACGGGGCUAAACCAUGCACCGAAGCUGCGGCAGCGACACUUAGGUGUUGUUGGGUAGGGGAGCGUUCUGUAAGCCGUUGAAGGUGACCUGUGAGGGUUGCUGGAGGUAUCAGAAGUGCGAAUGCUGACAUAAGUAACGAUAAUGCGGGUGAAAAACCCGCACGCCGGAAGACCAAGGGUUCCUGUCCAACGUUAAUCGGGGCAGGGUGAGUCGACCCCUAAGGCGAGGCUGAAAAGCGUAGUCGAUGGGAAACAGGUUAAUAUUCCUGUACUUGGUGUUACUGCGAAGGGGGGACGGAGAAGGCUAGGCUAGCCGGGCGACGGUUGUCCCGGUUUAAGCAUGUAGGCGGAGUGACUUGGUAAAUCCGGUUGCUUAUCAACGCUGAGGUGUGAUGACGAGUCACUACGGUGAUGAAGUAGUUGAUGCCAAGCUUCCAGGAAAAGCCUCUAAGCAUCAGGUAACAUUAAAUCGUACCCCAAACCGACACAGGUGGUCAGGUAGAGAAUACUCAGGCGCUUGAGAGAACUCGGGUGAAGGAACUAGGCAAAAUGGUGCCGUAACUUCGGGAGAAGGCACGCUGGCAUUAGGUAAAGAGACUUGCUCUCGGCGCCGAAGCCAGUCGCAGAUACCAGCUGGCUGCAACUGUUUAAUAAAAACACAGCACUGUGCAAACACGAAAGUGGACGUAUACGGUGUGACGCCUGCCCGGUGCUGGAAGGUUAAUUGAUGGGGUCAGCCGCAAGGCGAAGCUCUUGAUCGAAGCCCCAGUAAACGGCGGCCGUAACUAUAACGGUCCUAAGGUAGCGAAAUUCCUUGUCGGGUAAGUUCCGACCUGCACGAAUGGCGUAAUGAUGGCCAGGCUGUCUCCACCCGAGACUCAGUGAAAUUGAACUCGCUGUGAAGAUGCAGUGUACCCGCGGCAAGACGGAAAGACCCCGUGAACCUUUACUAUAGCUUGACACUGAACAUUGAGCCUUGAUGUGUAGGAUAGGUGGGAGGCAUUGAAGUGUGGACGCCAGUCUGCAUGGAGCCAACCUUGAAAUACCACCCUUUAAUGUUUGAUGUUCUAACUCGGCCCCAUAAUCUGGGGUGAGGACAGUGUCUGGUGGGUAGUUUGACUGGGGCGGUCUCCUCCCAAAGAGUAACGGAGGAGCACGAAGGUUAGCUAAUCACGGUCGGACAUCGUGAGGUUAGUGCAAAGGCAUAAGCUAGCUUGACUGCGAGAGUGACGGCUCGAGCAGGUACGAAAGUAGGUCUUAGUGAUCCGGUGGUUCUGAAUGGAAGGGCCAUCGCUCAACGGAUAAAAGGUACUCCGGGGAUAACAGGCUGAUACCGCCCAAGAGUUCAUAUCGACGGCGGUGUUUGGCACCUCGAUGUCGGCUCAUCACAUCCUGGGGCUGAAGUAGGUCCCAAGGGUAUGGCUGUUCGCCAUUUAAAGUGGUACGCGAGCUGGGUUUAGAACGUCGUGAGACAGUUCGGUCCCUAUCUGCCGUGGGCGUUGGAAGAUUGAGAGGGGCUGCUCCUAGUACGAGAGGACCGGAGUGGACGAAUCACUGGUGUUCGGGUUGUCAUGCCAAUGGCAUUGCCCGGUAGCUAAAUUCGGAAGAGAUAACCGCUGAAAGCAUCUAAGCGGGAAACUUGCCUCGAGAUGAGUCUUCCCUGGGGCUUUAAGCCCCCUGAAGGAACGUUAAAGACUAUGACGUUGAUAGGCUGGGUGUGUAAGUGCAGCGAUGCAUUGAGCUAACCAGUACUAAUGAUCCGUGAGGCUUAACCU
Molecule: ribosomal RNA, 2600 nt
Filed under: Yersinia enterocolitica
Lineage: Bacteria; Pseudomonadati; Pseudomonadota; Gammaproteobacteria; Enterobacterales; Yersiniaceae
Description: partial 23S ribosomal RNA
Rfam family: Bacterial large subunit ribosomal RNA
Source: RNAcentral